UUUUUAAGUCUCUUUCGUCAACCCCCAACGCACUCUCCCUCUGCAGUUUAGUCCAGAGGGAGUUUUCUCCUCUCAUCUCUAAUAUCUGAUUUCUGAGGCUUCGUCCUCGCCGCUACCGCUCAAGUUGGUCGUCGCCUGCCCCAUCUUGAUGGGGGACGACCUCCUCUUUCUACCCGGAGUCGUGGAUUCCUCUCUCCCCCUUCGGGCACCCAGAUCUAUGGGGUCUUCUCUGUUGACCUCCAGCAAAGAGCGAUUGUGGUUGGUUCGCAGGGCUCAUAGAGUCCAGAAGGCGCGAAUGGUACACAGAAGAACAUUCUUAGCUUUCCCUUUGCCAGUGCUGAAAUGUUUCUAGGUUGCCUCUCAUGGCAAAUGUGUUGCCUCUUACCCUCGUUUUUAGCUUCUUAUGCAUUCUGAUGUGGAUCUUUGAUUUGUUCUUUCUGUGGCUGAUUGGUUCUCCUUCGUACGCUGAUGAGUGGCUAAUUGAAGAUCAAAUGGACGGCGGCAGCAGGGAUAGCAAUGGAGCUAUUUCUGUACCUGUUUAGAAUUAGGGUUCAGUUUAAUGGCUGGGCCUUGUACCAGGGUUGGGCUAGGCUAAUCUGGUCCUUUUUGGGCCAUGUUUGUAUUAUGAGCUUCCUAAUGUUUUUCUGCCUUUGUUUCUGGGCUCAUAAUUAAUUCCCAAAUUGACACUUCCAGUUAUAAGUUUAGGGAGGUUGUUUUA
This is a long non-coding RNA of Manihot esculenta (cassava), 718 nucleotides long. RefSeq lists it as uncharacterized. Lineage: Eukaryota; Viridiplantae; Streptophyta; Magnoliopsida; Malpighiales; Euphorbiaceae. The record is from RefSeq and is a predicted model, not a curated record. The transcript is spliced from 2 exons.